UCUGGGAUUAGAUACCCUGUUAUUUAAAAUGUAAAUAAUUUAUUUAGGUAGUAAUAGUUAUGUUCUUGAAACUUAAAAAAUUUGGCGGUAUUUUAGUCUAUUCAGAGGAACCUGUUCUGUAAUUGAUAAUCCACGUUGGACCUUACUUAAAUUUGUUUUGCAAUUUAUAUACCGUUGUUAUUAAAAUAUUUUUGAGAAUAAUAAUAUUUAAUAAUUUUGAUAAAAAUUUAUAUCAAAUCAAGGUGUAGUUUAUGUUUAAGUAGAAAUGGGUUACAUUAAAGUUAUUUAUGAAUAUAAAUAUGAAAAAUUUAUUGAAAUUGGAUUUGAUUGUAAAGUUAUAAAGAUUAAUAAUUUGAUUUUAGCUCUAAAAUAUGUACAAAUCGCCCG
RNAcentral lists this ribosomal RNA (387 nucleotides) under Mumetopia nigrimana group sp. AT-2015. Its description in RNAcentral is "partial 12S ribosomal RNA". Lineage: Eukaryota; Metazoa; Arthropoda; Insecta; Diptera; Anthomyzidae. The record is from RNAcentral.